CGCCAGACUCCUACGGGAGGCAGCAGUGGGGAAUAUUGCACAAUGGGGGAAACCCUGAUGCAGCGACGCCGCGUGAGUGAAGAAGUAUUUCGGUAUGUAAAGCUCUAUCAGCAGGGAAGAAAAUGACGGUACCUGACUAAGAAGCCCCGGCUAACUACGUGCCAGCAGCCGCGGUAAUACGUAGGGGGCAAGCGUUAUCCGGAUUUACUGGGUGUAAAGGGAGCGUAGACGGCAUGGCAAGUCAGAUGUGAAAGCCCGGGGCUCAACCCCGGGACUGCAUUUGAAACUGUCAGGCUGGAGUGCAGGAGAGGUAAGUGGAAUUCCUAGUGUAGCGGUGAAAUGCGUAGAUAUUAGGAGGAACACCAGUGGCGAAGGCGGCUUACUGGACUGUAACUGACGUUGAGGCUCGAAAGCGUGGGGAGCAAACAGGAUUAGAUACCCCGGUA
This 446-nucleotide ribosomal RNA is filed under the name uncultured bacterium. Its description in RNAcentral is "bacterial SSU rRNA". It matches the Rfam family "Bacterial small subunit ribosomal RNA", at positions 329 to 792 of the family's 1533-position model. The record is from RNAcentral.